UAACAAAAAAAGAACUUGCCAGACUAUUGUA
Molecule: non-coding RNA, 31 nt
Filed under: Mus musculus (house mouse)
Lineage: Eukaryota; Metazoa; Chordata; Mammalia; Rodentia; Muridae
Source: RNAcentral